This 207-nucleotide ribosomal RNA is filed under the name uncultured Leptotrichia sp. RNAcentral's name for it is "partial 16S ribosomal RNA". It matches the Rfam family "Bacterial small subunit ribosomal RNA", at positions 149 to 355 of the family's 1533-position model. Lineage: Bacteria; Fusobacteriati; Fusobacteriota; Fusobacteriia; Fusobacteriales; Leptotrichiaceae. The record is from RNAcentral.
GAUGGAAACUUACUGAUAAUACUGGAUAAGUUAGUAUAUCGCAUGAUAUACAAAUGAAAGCUACGGCACUAAAGGAGGGCUUUGCGUCCUAUUAGCUAGUUGGUAAGGUAAGAGCUUACCAAGGCGAUGAUAGGUAGCCGGCCUGAGAGGGUGGACGGCCACAAGGGGACUGAGAUACGGCCCUUACUCCUACGGGAGGCAGCAGCC